Molecule: long non-coding RNA, 619 nt
Organism: Saccostrea cuccullata (small rock oyster)
Lineage: Eukaryota; Metazoa; Mollusca; Bivalvia; Ostreida; Ostreidae
Exons: 3
Source: RefSeq, a predicted model, not a curated record
UCCGUCCGUCCGUCCGUCCGUGUUUACGAGAGUGCAUUUAUUGGGUAUUUUUCAUGCCAAGAUUGUACUUAUUGGGUACUUUUUGCUUAUUGGGUAUACCCAAUAAGAAGUGUCGCUGAAUAUGCUUAAAACACCCUAAUUGGGUAUUUGCAGGUUAGUACCCAACAAAACUUGGACACGACGAUUUGUCCAAAAAAGUGUCCAAAAAAGUUGCUUUCACGGACGCACCGUGUUUUGUGUUUCAGUUUUACAUUCGGAACUCUAAAUUCUCGAGAGUUCCGAAAAUCAACUUCCGUUGAUCCUGAUCAUAACAACGUUUGUUUUCAUGGAAAAAAAAUAUGGCGACUAAGAAACACUUAAUGUCAACAAGAUUGUCUGAUUGACAAGAGAAAAGGUCAAACAGGAACUUCAAUUGUGAACAUUGCAGAGAACACACUCAUCAGAAGAUGACCCUCAGAAAUAGGACAAUUAAUGAAUAAAAAGGACAGAGGCAGAUUUGAAGGAGAUUCAUGAAAUGAGGAAUAUUUCAAAGAUUGCCUGAGCAUAACCACUGCUACUGGAUAAACAUAUGGCAAUAUAAAAGAGCAGGGUCAAUGGAGGUAUCAUACAGUAUAGACCA